CAGGGGAGAAUAAAAAAAUAAAAAUAAAAAACCACAAGUAAAAACUCAUUUCCGAAAAGCUAAGCUCUAAUAUUAUACUGAAGUUUCCAAAAAACUAAACUAUUAGAAAAUUUAUUUAGUAUAUAUAGCAGGGCAAGCUAUGCCAACAAAGAGACGGUUUCUUUGGUAAAGGUUUAAGAGUUUCGGCCCCCACCCAAAUGAUAAGAGUUAAAAAAAAAAAAAAAAAAAAAAAAGGAUUUGAUUUGAAUUUUUUUAAUUUAAUUUUUUGGGCAACAGAUUUGCAUCGUAAUUUUGGAUGCUGAACUUAAAAGCUAAGAGAAUUUAGCCCAAUACCCUUAUUUGAAACGUGUUAAUGAAAUCUACUCACUUGAUUGAAUUUUUUUUGUUUUACCCUUUCAUUUUCAUAUAUUCCCAAAUUACCCUUUUCAAAUAUCAAAAAGGAAAAAUCAAGCCCUAAACAGAGCAUGACGAAGAAGAAGAGGAAGAGAAAGUGAGAAAGAAUGGCAAAACAGCUUGGGAUGACCAAAGAGUUCUUUAGGAGGAGGGAUGGAAGUCAAUAAUCAUGGUUUAGAUGGUUUCUUCCUUGUCGAAUCAAAGAUGAAAGUGCAGGAAUUAAAGCGUGGAACUGAAAGCCUAUCUAGGAAUUUGCAGGUGAUGUAUGCUUUGUCGCUGGACAAGUCAAAUUUGGCUGUUUCAAAAUAUCAGGCUAAGUGCAUGGAUGCUAAAGGAUUAGUAGAACCAAACCAUCAAACUCCAGAGAAGGAUCACAAUGAUAACUAGUGUACCUGCUGGAAGUAGUAAACUGAACUAUGGAGUGAGUGACUUCAAGGAAAAAUGUUGUAGAAGAUCUUCUUGGAUCACCAGCAUGACUUUUAGCAUAUGCAUAUAGAAAGAAAUUUCAUGAUAUGCUAAGGAUCUUAGUACUAAAAAUAGUUUACAUGUACUAAAUCUUACUAGUUGGGGGUAUGUUAUAGCUUAAAUCUCAAGCUGGAUGUGUAUUUAGUUUAUCCACUUAAUCAUGCUAUAUAACAACUAUACAAUGUUCUAUACAUGUUAUAUUUUGCUUAUGCUAUCUUAGUAGUCCGUUGGAAAAAAUAUUAACAUAGAUGCAUUGAAGAAAUGUAUUAGUACAAUACAAUGGUCUCAUAUAUAUUAUGAAAUAAUUGCAAUAACAAUUAUGGAUAGGAUUGCCUAAAGGUGAUAUAUAAACCUAUUCUUUCAUCUUGUAUUUUAAUUGGUAAAAAAGUAAAUUUAUGCCCUUGUUUUUUAUUUCUUUCAUGCACAGACUAUAUAUAUAUAUAUAUAUAUUACAUGCAUCGGUAACAAUGGGUUAUAAUAUUUUUUCAAAGGAUAACUCAUGGGCUUGGUUUAUCUUAGGAUUGCAUUUUUCAUCUUGCCAUGACAUAAUAAGUUACUGUGGAGAUUGGUGGCUCAAAAAAGGAGGUAUAAUAUUAAACCAAAAGUAUAUUUCAAUGAACUUUACACAACUUUAUUAUCAAUUAAAGACGUAAAUAUUUUAAAUAUAUUUCUAUUUCAUUCACAUUUACAUACUUUUUAGUCAUGAUUCUUUCAAGAAAAAAGGUAUAUCUUAAAUCAUAAUUUUAGUUUUUGGGUUGCUGCAAAUACACAUCGAUGGCAGAAUAUGAUGAUCACAUAUUAAAAAAUUUUAAGGUCUAUGUCAUUUUUCUACAUUAAGCCCACUCAAACUAUCCCACUUGCAAAUUUUGAUGAUCCAAUUGGAAAUUUCUCCAAUAAUCAUCAAGAAGAUUAUAUAUUUUGGAGUUAAUAUUCUUUGCCUUGAUAUUGGAUAAGAGUCAGACAUUAUAUUCCAUUUGUUGCUCAAAUUAAUAUUCAUAUGUUUUGUACAUUGAAAAACAUUUAAUAUUUUUGUGGUUAGGUUGAGAUACUAGUUUUGUAUAUUUGAAAUUUGACUCCUAACAAAUUCUGCAAAAUGCCUGCACCUCAGUUGAAGAAUUUUGAAGGUCUUUUAUCGACUGCAGUAAACUCUUGUGAGUGGAUAUUUAAAUUCUGCAUAGAGUAGGUAAUUCACCAAAGAAUUCUGAUAGCAGUUAUAUUUCUUGGUGAUAAUAUACCUAAAACAAAUUUGGAAAAGGAAGGUGUAUUUGCUAUAUGAUAAUAAUAAUUCCGAUACAUAGCUGCAUUAGCCAUUCCUUACGAUAGUUACUUGGUUACAUGGAUGACUUUCUUUGUUUGUUUUUCCUUUUAUAAACAAAGAAUCUAGCGAUAGUUGCUCUCUUUCUUUAUUUGACAGGUUCAACUUAAAGAAGCUCAUACAUGAAGAAAGGAAGAACCAGUUAAUUGAAGGAUUGACUAAAUUUGGGCAGUGGCAUAAAUUUUCAAAGAUAAUGCACAUGCCGUAUAGAGAAACCUGGCUUUCCUUGUGUCCAUGCAAUUGCAGCAUGUAAGCAUCAAUAUAUUUCUCCAUAUAUCCUUUGCUUAGCACAUUACUCAGUUGACUCACUUCGUGACGCAUAUUCGGAAACCAUAUAUCCACUUGGAGAUAAAUGUUAGUGGCAUUCUCUAGAUGAUGUCAUAAACCAGCUUGUACUUCCACAUAAGAUUGGCAAACAGUCAAGAAGACCAAGAAAGAAGAGGAUUCAAUCUCAAGGAGAGGAGCGUCAUCAAUAUAGAUGCAGGAGGUGCAAACAAAAUGGUCAUAGCAGCCGAUCAUGCUCAGCCGCCAUACCUCUUGAUAGCACCGCCAACCAAUAGCACCAUUCAACUGAAGGACCAUAAAUCGCUCUACACUAUAUUAAGACAAUGGGGGCAUGUUAUGUGAUAUGCAUGUGUUAUGCAAUGUAAUAAGGAAUGCAAUUAGUAGCUCAACCGCGUAACGUGUGUUUUGGCAUAAUAGACAUUGGUUUUAUGUGUUGUUUUGUUGAAAAAGUUAUCUAUCGUAUUGUAUUGAUAAAAUAUCAAUGAUCCUAAAUAGAAAAAACUCCAA
Long non-coding RNA from Ziziphus jujuba (common jujube), 2965 nucleotides. RefSeq lists it as uncharacterized. The transcript has 3 exons. The record is from RefSeq and is a predicted model, not a curated record. Lineage: Eukaryota; Viridiplantae; Streptophyta; Magnoliopsida; Rosales; Rhamnaceae.